Mirounga angustirostris (Northern elephant seal) is the source of this 5491-nucleotide long non-coding RNA. RefSeq lists it as uncharacterized. The record is from RefSeq and is a predicted model, not a curated record. NCBI's taxonomy places the organism in Eukaryota, Metazoa, Chordata, Mammalia, Carnivora, Phocidae. The transcript has 2 exons.
GGCGGAGGGAUCCCGCGGAGCGCGAGCCGCGGGAUCCCGCACCGGCCGCCGGGGGUCGACCGCCGAGCGGGCCGGCGGAGUGCUGAGCCCGGCCCGCCGCCCGGGUGCUCGUGCGGCGCAGCGGCGGGGCCUGGGCUGCAUGGCUGGCCUCGCCCGCACCUGCGUCGGUUCGCCUGGAUUCACCAGGCCGGCCUCCAGUCGGUACCGGGUGGUCCCGUAAACUCUGAGUUCAGGAAAUGCCUCAGGGUUUUAGGAUGCAACUCUUCAGAUGCAAGUCUUCGUUUCGUGGUUAAUGGCCCAGUCUUACUAUACUGCGCUUUCCCUGUACGUUGCUUCAGAUCCUUUUCAGAAAUUGCGUGAAGACACUGAGGCUGGAAAAGUGAAGUCUUGAUCAGGACAUCUCUAUGUAAUCUUGCUGGAAUCCGGCAUACACUUGAGACAGUAGAAGAACAAUGUGAGGAAACUGAGCAAAAUGACUGAUGUAAGCACUAAGAGCUCUUGGAGUUGAGACAAUGGGGAAAUCAAUACAGGUUACAGCAUUCAAGCAUUCAGCAACAUUUUUCAAGCAACUGUUGGAUAAACAGUACCCUACUAGGUACUGUUUAGCAAUGGGCCCACAUCCAGUACAGAAAACAAACCUACAAAUGAAGAAUUGCAAUACAAUGAGAUCCAUGUUUAGGAUAUUUAGACUCAAGAUACUCUGGGGUGAUGUGCUUCACCAGGGAGUGGUCAGAGGUUUCACAGAGAGUUUAAAAUGGGUCUUGAAGGAUAUUUGAGAGUUUUUCAAGGGGAGAAAAGGGUAAGUCAUAUCUGGCAGAGGGAAGAGCAUGUACAAAGGUACGGAAAGCUGGACAUAACAUGACAAGACUGAGAAUCAGAGAGUGAUUCACUGUGUCUGGAGGUCAAGUACAUAAAAUUUGUAGAGAUAAGACUGGAAAGAGAAAUUGGGGCCGUGUUGUAUAUGAGGUGAAAGAGUUUACAUAUUAUCCUCCAGGGAAUGGGAAAAUGAAGAUAUUUUAGAGUGACAAAUCUGCAGUGUGAAGGAAAAAUUUGAGCCAGAGAAAAGGUAACACCUGAGCUUUACUUUGAAUGCCACUUUAGAUUUGGAUAAACAAAGAAGUGGAUAUUAGAGCAUAAGCAGAGGCUUAGAGUCCUGACAAGCAAGUCCUGACAGGGACGAUGAGACCAGCCAGGUGAGAAAGGCGUAAUCUUAGAGAACAGGGGCGGGAAGAAAAGAUUAUACAAUGAAGAAUCUUGAAUGGCUGUUUGAAGUUGGAAAUUUGGACUUCAUCGUAUAGGCAGAUUGCAUAGCCACUGGAUGUUUUGAUCAUGUUUUCGAUGUGACAUGAAUUGUGAAUUGAGUAAGGAACAAAGGAAGCAUCAAAUUCUAGCUAUGUGGCAGUAAAAAUAGUCUCUGCUUACAGUAAUGAACCCCUGUUGGUGGCAAUGAGUCUGAAUCGGAAAAAGUAGACCUCAGCAAUGUUUGAAAGAUAAACCAGAGGUCUUCAGUUUUAAAAGAUGCCUAUCACAACCUCUGUGUAAUUUCUCUCAAGUUCUCACUGAAAUAACUAGUCAUAUACUUUUAAAAAACCAUACUACCAAAAACUGGUAUUGAUUGUUAAUCUUUUUUCCAGAGUCCAGAAGGAAUAUUUUUCCUACCAUAUUAAUGUAACUGGAUGGGAAAUUAGACUAAUAAUCCAUCCCUGUUAUGCCCUGUUUUAAAAAGGUAGGUGCUUCAUCCCUCUUUACUGUUCGCCCUCCUAAGAAAUCAUAGGUCCACACCAGUGGUUCCCAGAUUUCAGUGUGCAUCCCGAUCAUCUAGAGAAUUGUUAAAAUGUAGAUUCUCAGGCUUCACUCCCCACCCCCACCCUGAGAUUCUGACUCAGUAGGUCUGAAAAGCCCAAGAAUAUGCAUUUUUAGCAAUGAUCUAUAGGAGAUCACCUGCAUGCCACACAUUUUAGUCACAAAACUAGAUAACAGUUCUCUCCAUUGUUCUGUUUUGCUGCUAAAGCUGUCUUCUAAAACAAUUUGUAAGUACUCUCCCCUUAUCUACAAACAAUUAAAAUAAAAUAAAAUAAUAAAAUAAAAUAAAAACUGAACAAGGGAUUGGAGAAAAGAGGAAAGAAGAGAAAAGAUGAUGGCCCCUUUAUAUCAUGACAUGUUUUUAGACAAGGACAUGGCAGGAAUAGCAGCCCUGAGAAUACUUUGAACUAGGCUUUCUUGAAAUCCCAUCUAUUCAGAGUAUGGGAAGGAACCCAAAGGAACCACAAGAGCCAAAGCCUGCUAGAUCUUAAGAUCUGUGAAGGGAAUUUGACCAGCACACAAGUGGACAGACAAGAGGGCCAAAGACAAUUCGACCAGUCUGUCUGCUGGCAAAGACCAGGUAAGGAUCAAUGGAAUAUUCUAUAUCCAAAAAUAAGUAAAAAGGAGAAAAAAUGGAAUCCAUUUUAAAAAUACUGUGAGACAAAGAAAAUAAAAAUAGCGUGUCAAUUCAAAAGAUAGGUAAAUCACUGAAAAUUUAUUACAGUGAUGAGGGGGUAAAAUGCUGCUUGUCAUGGUUAAGGAUAUAAGAAUACAUAGCCUUUAUGAAAUAAGAGUGAGCAAGAACAUGAGAAGUUGAGAGAGAUGAGUAAGGUAAGAAAUAUACACUGGAGGAACACCACUACCCACACAAAAUACUCAAUAACACUGGAUAAAAUAUUUUAAAACAGCACUUAAAAUGAAUUAGUAAGCUUAUAAGAAAGUAGGAAAAAUUCCCUAAAUUCAGGAAUAAAGCUGGAGGAAGAGUCUGGGAGGUUGAGGAAUCACGAAAGGUUGUGGAUGCCCUGAAAACAUCUACUCUCCCAGGUGCCUAUAGCUGUAGGUGACACACAGGACAAAGAGUAGAUUGAAGACCCCAGCAUAAAGCCAGGGUGGGAAAAGGGCUACACAAUUAGCUAAAUGGUAGACUAGGAGAAGAAAUUGCUGAGGUAGACAAUAAGGCAUCACACCUAUCUGCUUGAUUCUAGGUAGAACUUUUUUUUCUUUAAUAACUUGUGGCUUCUAUCUGAAACUCAGGUGGGUUUGAUGCCUGAAUAUAGAGUAUUUGCUUGUUAUAAAGAAAAUAUCGCCAAUAAUUUUAAUUUAGGUUGACUCAGUAAAUAUAUAGGAUAUUUGCACAGCACCGUUAAGUUUUUUUUUUUUUUUUUUUUUUAAAGAUUUUAUUUAUUUAUUUGACAGAGAGAGACACAAUGAGAGAGGGAACACAAGCAGGGGGAGUGGGAGAGGGAGAAGCAGGCUUCCCGCCGAGCAGGGAGCCCGAUGUGGGGCUCGAUCCCAGGACCCUGGGAUCAUGACCUGAGCCGAAGGCAGACGCUUAACGACUGAGCCACCCAGGUGCCCCUAACAAGUUUUAUUUGAUUAAAAUACAGAAAAAAUAGCAAGCUUAAAUUGGAGAGUGCACAUUAUCUGCAAGAACAAAUAGAACAUUAGAAAUGAGUUAUGUUAAAGGCCAUAAAGUAAGUUUCAACAAAAAUCAAAGAACAGAGAACACAAUUUUGGAUCUUAAUGCAAUUAAGCAAGAAAUCAAUUUUAUGACAUUUUUUAAAAAUAGAUAUGCUUCUGUAUACUAAUGGAUCAAAGAAGAAAAUAAAAUUAGAAAACACUUGGAACUGAACAUUAAUGAAAAUGUCUCCAAUUAAAUCCUGUGAUGUGGAUCUAAAGCUUUACUGUGCUUAGAGGCUAAAAUUAAUGGACUAAUCUUUCAACUUAAGUAUAAAAAAGAAAAACACAUUAAAUCCAAAGGAAGUUGAAAGAAAGAAUACUAAAGACAAAAAUUAAAGACUUGAAAAACAAAGAUAAGAGAAUCAACAAAAAAAAAAAUUAGCUAUGUGUAAAGACCAAUUUUUGUAGCAGAAAUAAAAUGAACUCAAGAGAGGGGUUGGAAAAUAAAGUUGCAUUAGUCUCCCAGAAAAAGGAACAGAAAUAUUGAGAAAAGGAAAAGAAAACGUUUAAAAAUUAAAGGAUCCGUCCAGGAGUUCUAAUGAAUGAGUUCCAGAGUUCAAGAGUUCCUGAAGUAGAGAACACAAUGAACAGGGAAGGAAAUCAUCAAUAUUGAAGAAAAUUCCCCAGAAAUGAAGGAAGCAAGUUUUCAGAUUAAAAAGGCUUAGCCAAAGGAAGCUGUUUGUGAAAUUUCAGUAAAGUGACAACAAAGAAAGACAUUUGCUAGCUUUCAGGGAGAAAAUCAAGCUUUACAUCAAGAAUUAAGAAUCAGAAUAGCAUUGGACUUCCAAAGUCAUAGCCAAAGGGAAAAGAGAGAGAAAGUAUACCCCCAGGUGCCUGUUUACAAAACAUAAUAAAGAUGCAAAUAAGAAAACUUUUUUAUUUUACUUUUGCACUGAGUUACAAUAUUUAAGUUUGUUGAAUGUAUAAAUGGCGUAUUUUUUAUUUAUGGGUACAUUAGGGCAAGAAGUAUAUUCUCUAUACAUUAUACUUGCCCCUGGGAGAAGUUUGUCUGCUAUAACAAUAGUGGACGCCAGAAGACAAUGAAGCAAUGCCUUCAAAAUUCUGAAAGAAAAUUAUUUUCAAGAAUUACAUACCCAGCCAAACUAUCAAUUAAGAGUGAAGGUAAAAGAAACAUUUUCAGACAUGUAAAAAUCUCAAAAACAAUAUAUUUUGAUGCACCUUUCCUCAGGAAGAGAGAGAGGAAGCCAAGAAAGAGGAAGACAUUUGGUGUAGGGAGAUAAAGAUGUGACACAGGAGAAAGGAAAAGGAAAUCCCUAAUUGAUGACACAGAGCCAAAGGAGACAGCUGUGCAGCAGGCCAAAAGGCUACCAGUCUCCAUAGGAUCUGAUCAGAGGGUUCAAAGAGACUUCAAGAAAAUCAAAGUCACUAGAUAUUGCCAAAAAAAUGGAAAACAACACUAGUUAAUGAGUUAAUAAUGAGCCCAUGAGAAACUAAACAAACAAAAGAUAACUAUUAAUUUCAAGGAAAACAGAAUGUACAAGAAAAGGUAAAGUACAGUGUAGUAUGCGGCUCGACUGUAACUGGCAUUUAUGUAGUCAUAAUCACAUAAACAUUGAAUAUUAAGCUAGCCAAAUUAUGAUAUAACUGAAUUAGUAAGAUAGGAGGAUAGUAACUAGUGAGGACAGAGCUAAAUUCCCCUCUUUCAAAGUCGAAAAUCAAUAGAUAAUGCCUACAACUGAAAACUCAAGAAAACACCUAAAAUUGAAAACUCACAAAGUAGUGAUAUAAGCAUGUUGUUAGAGAUAUUAAGAAUUCAGAUAAUAAGAAUCAGCUAAAGAUUUGAAAACAGUUGUGGGAAAUGGAUUGAUGGGGUGGGGGUCAGGGGAUUGCUGUUUGCUCACAAUAAUCUUAAAAAGCUAGAUUUGGGGAAAUAAAGGGAUUGUACUAGUAUUUACUCUCACCGGUUUGUAUGAAGGUCUCUGCUUCCCUGAUCCCUUCCCUACACAAUUAAAAGAAGAAAGAAAGGAAAGAGGGAGGGAGGGAGGGA